Molecule: ribosomal RNA, 50 nt
Filed under: Colletotrichum sp.
Lineage: Eukaryota; Fungi; Ascomycota; Sordariomycetes; Glomerellales; Glomerellaceae
Description: partial 18S ribosomal RNA
Rfam family: Eukaryotic small subunit ribosomal RNA
Source: RNAcentral
UAAGAAGUCGUAACAAGGUCUCCGUUGGUGAACCAGCGGAGGGAUCAUUA